CAUAUAUGCCAUUCAAGAUCGACAUUCUUUUAGAAUACUACAGAGUUAUUUCCACUUUAAAGCAGAGAAAAUUGAGGCACAGGAUGAUUCAAUGAUUUGCCCCUGUCCUCCUGCCAAUAAAGGGUCAAACUGGAAUCAGAAGUCAGCUUUUCUGAUGGAGGCUAACUCCUGUAAAAUCGCAUGUGGAGAAAGGACUCUUGUGUUUGACAGUCUAAGGGCCUUUUCUGCCUAAUCUAAGGUCUGUUUCCCUAUAUGCAGGCUGGGAGGGGUGAUUGUGCAGAGGGACCCUUGGAGAACUGUUACAUUAUGCAAACUUGAUUAUCCUGUCUGACAUUAUUGAUGUCAGCAGCCAUUGUGAAAUGAAGUUUGGGAGAUGGAGUGUGGAAGGUGGCACUUGUAAUUUUUAAUAAUCAUCCUCUUUUACUUCUUGGGGGGAGGCAGUGGGGGAGAAACAGAGCUUCAGGGUUGUGGAUGCUUUAAUGGAAUCUGUCUGUCACAAUAAGGAAGUAGAGAAAGUCUUUUAGCGUUCUACAGGCUAAAUCACAGGGCUUGAACCAUGGUGUUUUUGGUGAACAGAGAUGCCGUACCAUAAAGGCAGAUGGAGAAUGACUGCAGGGUCAAUGAGAUUGUCACCCCCCGCGGCAGGGACAAUGUUUAUUCAUCUCUGAAAUCCUAGUGCCCUUCACAGGGCACUUAGCUGGAGCUGGUCCAGUGAGAGCUGAUUCCAAAUACACUCUAUAAAGGACCUUGUCUGUGUAGAAUUUUGGCAUCUCAGGCACUGUGAUGACCACUCCUCCCAGUUCAAAAUCUCCAUAUCCAACUACCUGAUGAAUUUCUCCCUUUGGAUCCCAAAUGACCAGAACAGGACAGAUAAUGUCCCCUUCAAGAAUUUUUUAUCUUAUGUGAAGUCCAGUGAAUGGUGUUACUGUCUACCCAGUCUUCCAAGUAAGUGUGACAGCUUGGCAUCAUUUUUAAAUUUCCAUUCUCCUUUGCCCCACAUACCAGAUCAUUCACCAAGCACUGCCUCUUCUAUUUUCUCAUGAUCUCUUGAAUUUGUCCACUUCCCUCCAUCUCUACCAACACCUCCUUGGACCAUGCCAACACCAUUUCUUGCAUCUGCAGUUUCAGCAAUCUCCUAAUUGGUCUUCCUGCCAUCACCUUCAUUAAUCCAUUCUCCAUGUAGUAGCUGGAAUGACAUCUAGUUAACCUUUACUUAAAACCUCCAUGGCUCUUGAGGUCAAAGUUCAAACUCAUUACAUGGCCUAAGGCUUUUUGGGGUAUGAUCCCAACGAAUUUCUCCAUCUGUCUCCCAUCCUGCUCCCUGCCUCCCUAUCUUCUUCCAGUUCCUCUAAUGCCACACUUCCCCACACCCAGCCUCCACUCAUGCUGUUUCUUCUGCCAAGAACAUCCUUCCCUGCUCUUGCCUAGCCAAAUCUUGCUUAUUUUCCAUGUCUCAGUCUCAGUUCUUCAGUGGGGACUUCCCUGAAUAACCGUAUAAGCAAACAUUAAUAAAGUUCUUGCUAUGUGACAGAUACUUGCCUUUACAUAGAUUAACCUGUUCAAUCCUCACAAUAACCCUAUGACAUAGAUAACAUACGGUCUACAGUUAGCAGAUGGAGAAACUGAGGCACUAAGAGAUAAAUGAACUUGUCCAAGGUUACAUGCAAGGUAGAAGAGCUGAGAUUCAAAUGCAAGCGUCUUGGUUCCCUAGUCUGUGUUUUAAUCACUACACCCUGACUCCAGACUAUGCUGAGUUGUACCUGCUGUAGCCUGGAAUUCACUUCCACUGCACCCCUAAUGCUUAUGCGGCAUUAUUCUCCCUUCUAUAGUUACAGCAUCACGUGGACAGGAACUGUGUCUGUCUUGUCCACGGGUGUGUCCGCAGUACCUGCACAAUGCCUAGCAUGUCACAGGCACUCAUGAAGAUGUUUUCUGGUUGAAUGAAUAAAAGAUUAAAAUUCUCCCUAAGCAUAUCAGCUGUUGGAGCCACUCUUGUUCCCAGUGUGUUUCAGAUUCAUUUGGGGGCAGAGAGCAAAAGUGUCUGCAUGUGGCAGGUGAGAUGCCCCUAUAUGAGGUGUUUGGAUACAGUCGUAUGCUGAAGAAGACUUUACCUCUUGGUUGGUGUUUCCCUACUUCCACUCCCAAUAUGGAUGGCAGCCAAGCUUUCAUUUUGCAGGUCUAAGCCUCUGUGUCUAGAAAACGGAGGUUUUAGUGACUUGUCUUUUGCAAAAGUAAGAAUUGGCAGACACCAUGGCAGUGGGCGUCCUCUCUUGCUGAGGACAGGAAUGGGGCUAGGCUGCAGCAUGCCUGAUGAGAAGCUGCUGUGGGUGGUUGGGCAGUUAGGCACUAUUUCCCAUGGCCUGGAGAGCAGCUGAGAGGGUCCUGUGGGUCACUCUGUACUAGAAUGGACUGCAGCUAGGGGCGCCCUGAGCCCUUUCCCUGGAGCUGAGUGACAGCUUGAGCUCAGGGGACCAGCAUGUAGAGUAGAAGACUUGGGCUGAGGUCCCGCCCUCGUGGCCCCAUCUCUGUGGGGUGUCCACUACGUGUGAGUCCAGGCCCUUAAAGAUACCAUGGGGUCGGGGGAGUAAUAAUGAAUGCAGUUGAAUUUGCUGUCUCUUGGAUAGUGGCGGUUAUUUGCAGAUGAACUUUGGCUUAAAGAAAAUAAAGAAUGUGGCAUGUCUUUCUUCCUAAUGUUGUGAAUAGGAAUUCAUUCCAGCUAUGCUUGUUGGCACACCUCAAGCACGGUCCAGGGCUCAGGAACAUAUCGGUCUUAUGCAGCUCUUGGAUGCUUACCACAAAAGGAGGGCUGGUUGUGGGUGAGAGCCAUGGCAGAGUCUGGGGCAUGGCAGGUGCAUUGCUGCAGGAUGAGCCUUUGCGAAGGGCUAGGCUUGCUGCUUUGGGGCAGCUCCCAGGAUGGCCACCAGCAGAAAAAGCUCCAGGCCUGGUUCCAUGUUCUUUCUCCGGUCCCCACCUUUCCUUCCUCCACAGCACAUUUUAAAGUCUGAUUUCAGGGGCUUGGGAACGUCCCUCUGCCAGAUCCACCUGCAUGCUUGCGUCUUGGGAUCUGACCACAGUCUUCAACCUUCUGAGGGAGUAGUUACCACCUUUUUAGGUCAGGGAGUGGGUGAUGGUGAGAAGGGAGCAAACAAGCCUCUUGGGAGAGAGUGCAGGGAAGUGCACUGAUGUUUUGGAGUACCUUCCAUUACCAUCAUUGUGCUUAACGUGUUCGUUACGAAGCAGCCUGGUGAUGCUUGCUUCUCCUCCUAUGGGUGACUCCUCCUCUGUCCAACAGGGGAGCCUCACGGUGGGUGCCUUUGCUCAAAGAGGACCCAUCCUCAGGGAGUUUGCAGCCAGCCGAAGGGCAGCCAGGAGUGAAGAGUGAAUGGAAGGUGAGGCGGGAGAGGAAAAUCCACCUAAGCUGAACGUGGCUUCAAUAAUUAAUAGCAGCGGGCAAAGCCGACAUUACAUUAGGAAAAUUUAAUUAGAACAUGCAACUUAUAUAUGUAAUUGGAUGCCUGGGGCAGUAAUAAUGCAUUUUCACAGUACCUCAACCAUCCCCCCAGGCUUGUUUUGACUCAUAAAAAGGGAUCAGUCAUGAAGAGCUGUGAUGCUGGAGUGUUAUUUCUGUUGUCCUGGUGGUCACUUACGUAACCUAGUGUGUAGCCUGGGGCAGGCUGUAGCACCUAGUAGGUAGGUCCUCAGUUGAUAUUUGUUGACUGAUUUAAUGGGAUUUUAUGAUGAGAUUGAAUAAAUGAGGGCACACCUGGUUUUUAGGACUUCCCUGGAUGGCUCCAUGCUUCCUCCUGGACCAAGUGUGUUCAGAUGAGAAUGGCCCUUCCUUGCUGUGGGCACCCUCUUUGCUAGGGUGCCAAGGUCGGAGCUGAUAUUGGUUAUCUCAUCGGGCCUUGCAGCAGCGCCGCAGAUAUUCUGCCUCCCAUUUUGCCCGCGGGGACGCCGAGGCCCGGCGCCGCAUCCUGCCGCCCGUUUUGCCCGCGGGGAAGCCGAGGCCCGGCGCCGUAUCCUGCCGCCCGUUUUACCCGCGGAGACGCCGAGGCCCGAUGCCGUAUCCUGCCGCCCGUUUUACCCGCGGGAAAGCCGAGGCCCGGUGCUGUAUUCUGCCGCCCAUUUUACCCGCGGGGAAGCUGAGGCCCAGUGCUGUUUAAUAUCUUACUCAUGUUCACUUGAUGAGAAAGUGACAGAUCUGAGACAAACCCAGUUCUAGAGGUUAUGACACCAGCCAUGGAAGAGCAGAGAGGCCAAUGAGGUGGGGAGGUUGGAAACAAAAGGCCUUCUCCACCCCAGCUUGACCAACCCAAAAGCUGGAAGGCAAGGAAGACCUAGAUCGACAGAAAAGAAAUGAGUCAACGAUGGUGCAGAAAGGGACCAGCUUGACGAAGCUUCUGCUUUUGUGACUGUCUCCUAAUGCAGAAACCAGAGCACCUCAGAAGAUCAAGGCUUCCAAAUUCUCCUGGGGGAACAGACGUCAGCCAUUCAGCACAAAGGAAACUUCCUUCUCUGUAUGUCAGAGGAAGACAUAAUUGUGCCAUUUCCUUCUUGAAGAAGUUUACAAACAUUUGCAAGUUGUCAAAAAUAAUUAGUCUAAAAUUGUUUCAUAAACCGUGGAAUGAAACAGGAC
Molecule: long non-coding RNA, 4636 nt
Filed under: Homo sapiens (human)
Lineage: Eukaryota; Metazoa; Chordata; Mammalia; Primates; Hominidae
Description: non-protein coding MIR646HG:1
Source: RNAcentral